Molecule: ribosomal RNA, 459 nt
Filed under: uncultured bacterium
Lineage: Bacteria
Description: partial 16S ribosomal RNA
Rfam family: Bacterial small subunit ribosomal RNA
Source: RNAcentral
CCUACGGGUGGCAGCAGUGAGGAAUAUUGGUCAAUGGGCUAAGGCCUGAACCAGCCAAGUCGCGUGAGGGAAGACGGUCCUAUGGAUUGUAAACCUCUUUUGUCGGGGAGCAACGAGGCCAAGUGUGGCCGAAGUGGGAAUAACCGAAGAAAAAGCAUCGGCUAACUCCGUGCCAGAAGCCGCGGUAAUACGGAGGAUGCGAGCGUUAUCCGGGUUUAUUGGGUUUAAAGGGUGCGUAGGCGGAACAUUAAGUCAGCGGUAAAAUCGAGGGGCUCAACCCCUUUAAGCCGUUGAAACUGCCAUGCUGGAGUGCCGGAGAGGUAAGCGGAAUUCCUAGUGUAGCGGUGAAAUGCGUAGAUAUUAGGAGGAACACCAGUGGCGGAGGCGGCUUACUGGACGGUAACUGACGCUGAGGCUCGAAAGCGUGGGGAGCAAACAGGAUUAGAUACCCGAGUAGUC